Molecule: long non-coding RNA, 625 nt
Filed under: Nannospalax galili (Upper Galilee mountains blind mole rat)
Lineage: Eukaryota; Metazoa; Chordata; Mammalia; Rodentia; Spalacidae
Description: lncRNA (ENSNGAG00000024570.1)
Source: RNAcentral
CAUGCAUAUUUAUUCGGGACACGGUUGGAUCCACAAGAUCUAAAACCUGGCUGGGCUUCAGCGCCCAGUUUUCUUGAGGGUUCCCUUGCCCACCGGUACCUGUCGUGGUCCUCCAGUCGGCAGGAGGCGCAGCAUCUUGGCGGCCUUACCUAACCGGAAGGUCUGGGACUCGUGAGAGCCGAGAGGAGGUGCCUUCCGUGUUUUUUGGCUCUGGGCAGAUGGCGGGCGCCCGGGCUCUGAGCGAGCUGCAGGCGGUGGACACCGAGCUCACUGCAGAUUCGGUGGAGUGGUGCCCGCUGGAGGGUUGCCGGCACUUGCUGGCCUGCGGUACCUACCAGCUGCACGCGCCUGAAGACCAGGCUGCACUGGAUGGCAGUGAACCUCAAGUUCGUUUGGGUCGGCUCUACCUGUACCGUUUCAAUGAAGACAACGCUGUUAACCCUUUGGUUGAGGUACAGAGAAGGGAUACUUCUGCCAUCUUGGACAUGAAAUGGUGCCACAUCCCAGUGGCUGGCCAUGCUCUUUUAGGCUUGGCAAAUGCUAAUGGAUCUGUACAGGUAUUCUGGCUGAUGGAAUCUGAGGUCAGUGGUGGGCCCAUCUCAGGGGGGAGUGCUGAUGAGGGGGC